AGGCCGGGGCAGGCUGGCGGACGCUUCUGCGCACCAGGCGUCUCUGCUGGGAGGGGCUCACUGUCCCACACUCCAGCACAGCCCACCCUGCCCUUCCUGCUCCGGUCUCAGCCCCCACCCCCAGGCCUGCCCCACCCAGCACACAGACCCCCCCUCUUGCCCACCAGCUGCCAGGGUGUCCUCACAGGGCCCCCUCCGGCCCCUUCUCCUCACUCUUCUCCAAGCCUCCCAUGGGGAGGGGGCAAGUAGGUGCUCCAGCCCCUGACACCUGGUCCAUGCGUGCAUCCUUCUGUCCAAGGCAGGACAGGGCUGGGUCAGACUUCCGUUCGAGGCGCCACAGGACUGGCCGAGGACCUGUGACUGAGAAGUGGGAGACCAGAGGCCUGGGAGGUCCUAGGAGCAGGUUUGGGGAAACCUCCAACCUUUCUCAUCAGGCACCUGGGACCCAGGUCCUGGGCUGAGCCCAGCUCCUCCUCAACGAGGACAGUAACACUGCCCAGCAGCCCCAUGGACAAUCUCACUCAUUUUGGCAGCUUGGGCCCCCUGUGUGGCCCUCUGUCCACACUGGGGCCCCCAUAGCAUAACUGAGCAAUGUGGACUGGCAGGCCCUGAGCCCGGUGGCCCCACCCACACUCCCGCUCACUCACACGGCAGACAGAGGUUUGCUAGCGCCCACAGCUGUGUGUGCUGUCUGUCCCAGGGCCCCUUCUCUGUGCUGCCCCUGGGCCUUUGCACAAGCUGGGGCCUAGUCCCACCCGACCUGGGCUAAGGACAGCCCAGCCCUGCCUGCACCAGCUCCUACCCCUCAGUGAGUGGUGGUCCAGGACAGGCAGGGAGAGGGGUAUGUGGCCACACCCAGGCUGUACUCUCUGUGGCCAAGGCUGAGCCGGAGAGAAAGGACCACCUGAGCCAGGCUGGGGCUUCUGCCAAGGGGGCACACAUUACAUCCCCCUUGGACAGAAGCAGCCAUGAUGCCUGCCGCCCCAUGGCCUGUGCCUCACUGCGCAUUCCUCUGACCUGCUGUCAUGUAGGGAAGUGCCCCUCCCGUGGGCAGCACCGCAGAGCUGACCACCUCAGCACGUGGCUUGGGGGUUGCCUGGGCACUGAAUGGCUCCCAGAAUCUCUUUGCUGGCCUUGGGCCUUGCUGCUGGUCACCCCCUGGAGGGCUGUGUCUGACUUUCCCCACCUGCCCCCGCCCUUGACCCAGCCUCUCACUACGUGAAACAAACACAGGGCGGCGGGGCAGGGUGGGGUGGGAGGUACAGCGCUCUGCUCCUUGCCUGGCCGAGCUUCUCACCAGUUUCCUGGGGGAGGGGAGAGGCCUCCACGCCUCCCGCCCUACUUGGACUCAGGCCACACCUUGCAAAGCCUGUUCCUUGUACCAGUUUCUCAUCCACUGACUUUGUUCUGAUUGCUGGUGACAGAAGACUUGAGAAGGUGGUUUAGGCAGAAAAGGGGAUUUGCAGCUCACAGGUAUGAGAAGACCGGGGCAGUGCUCCUUCAGGAACAGCUCCAUCCAGGGAUCAAACCUUCACACGGCUUAUUUUCCUUCCUCUCGGCAUUACUUUCUGCCAUUUGGCUACAUCCUCAGGCCACAUGUGGCACAGCUGUCAGCCUAGGCUCACGUCAUCAGAGCAGGAAAGAGGGACGCGCUUGCCUCUCUCCCAGAAGUUCUGGAAAAGUCACAUUGGCUUUCAUUGACUGUCAUUGGCUGACCAGCUGUUGUGGGUUGACUUGUGCCCACAGAAAAGAUAUGUUGAAAUCCUAACCCCAGUACCCGUGAGUCUGACUUUAUUUGGACUUUUGCAGAUGAUGCGAUCAAGCUAGGGUGAGGUCAGUAGGCUGGGCUGUAAGCCAACAACUGGAGCCCUCCGAGAGCCAUGUGAGCACGCUGUGUAGGGGCAAAUGCCCAGGGAUGACGGUGGCAGAGACUGGAGUGACGCGUCUGCAGGCCGAGGAGCACCAGGGGCUGGCAGCCAAUGCCAGAAGCUGGAAGAGGCAGGAAGGGUUCAGAGAGGGAGGCCCUACCAACACCUCGAUUCAGACAUCUGGCCUCCAGAACUGAGAGCAAACACAUUCCUGUUGUUUUAAGCUGCCCAGUUUGUGGUCCCUUGUUACGGCAGCCCCAGGGGACUGGCACACCGCACCUCCGUGAACCGUCACCCUGCUCAUCCCUGGAGCUGGGGAUGCAGACAGUACCCUGAUGCCCUGGCCGGAAGCAGGGGCAGUUUCCAGAGGAGGGCAGGAGUGGCGCGCACCUACCAGGGAAGGGAGGAAAGGUGCUGGUGGACUGGGGGGCCGACCGUGGGAAGCUGACCUGGGCCUGCUGGGGCUGGGAUCCAGGAGAGCUGGGCAAUCACCUCGAGGGCUGGUCCCCUGGGAAGAGGUGACUGCGUCUCGAGUCGGGGCUGGGGCUCAAGGGCACAAACCUAGGGCCCAAGGCCAGCGCCGUCACACCUGCACACCUGUGUUCGUGGCCGAGGUCCUACCAGUCAGAUGCCUAAAGCUACAGAAUCUAAGAGCUUCCUGUGGCUUCAGAGUGCGAGGCAGCACCAGAGGGAGCCCUGAGUCCACCCCGAGCACGUCUGACGUCCAACAGAUGGGCCGCUGACGCUGCGGCUGCCCAGCCCCUCCUCAGCCACUGGGCGGUGGGGCUCCUUGUCACCCUGGGUGAGGACCUAAGUCUUCAGCAGGCUCUUAGAGGCCGACAGCCCUUCUGCGUCCCUCUCUUUGCCACGCGCCCUGAGCGCCACCCCUCCACUCCCGCGUGGCAUUCGCACACCUGCCAUUCCUCGUGUCUGCAGCGCCUCCCUGCUCACCUCUGUUGGGCUCUCUCCAGCCCUGGACAGGGGGGCGUCCAGAUGGAUCAAGCAGAGUGCCACUCGGUCCCACCACCACGGCGUCCUCGUGGUAGAGGACCAGUGCAGUGCUCUGUGUGCGGCAGUGCCCGGGGUCCCGAGGGUCAGAUGGGGACGGGGCGGGAGGGUAGACCGCCUGCGUGAGACACAGGUGCGCUGUUCUUCGCCUCGAGACAAUGGAAACUGCACGAAGCCUGGAAAAGAAUGCACUCCUGGGUCCCAGAGUCCCCUCCGUAAGAUAACUUCAAACCAAGGAGCCCAGUGCAUGGCAAAGCAGACACCACAACAGUCGCCUUCAUAGCGCAGCAGCCGGCAGCCCGGAGGUGGGGGAGCCACCGCCGGGACACACAGCCAAGGGGAGCUCAGCGCUCCCACCCCGAGGCUGGGCGCUGUUCUGCGGCCAGGUGUGGGUCUCGACGCACACCCACUCUCCACCCCUCCAGCUCGGUCACGUGGGUCUGGGGGCCGGGCUCUCCUCACGGCCCUCCUGGGAGUCGGGUCUUCCACCCUCACUUCAGGCUCUGAAGGGCCAGAGGCCCUGGCUCCAGGGGGAGUCUGCUUGCAGACAGUCGGGGUUCCACCACGCUGACAGCUACCAGACGCCCCUGGUCUUUUGGGCUCCACACAGACCAGCAGGCAAGGAAAGGAGUUACCACUGUGUUGGGAGCAGCUGGGCCUGAGGACCAUCUCAGGGAGGCUGGGCUGAGGAGCGCACCUGCAGCUUAGAGGGCCCUCAGGGUGACCGGUGCUCUGGGCCCGUCCGUGGCAAGCACAGCCCCCACACAAGCAGGCACGGGUGGCAGCCAGGGGCUCAGAGCCUCAGAGGUCUGGUCCCCCGCCCGGCAGGCCCCCAGGCCAGUGGUAAGCAGAUGGGAAUGCGGGACGGAGGGGAAGAUAAGGGUCAGUUAGGGUGCUGCAGUCAAAUGCAGCCUCAGGGCUGUGGCUCGCCUCUAACCCUGCUCUUGUGAGUUCUGGUUUUUUCUCAGAAAUCACACCAGCCACAGUUGUGAGUGGGCAAGGGGUGAACUGAACACGGGAGGCAAGGAGAUGAGCCAAGUUUCCGCCAAACCCCCGGCUCCUCCGCUCGCACGUGGGCACGACGCUCUGUCACUUCUGCCACCGUAUCCCCAGACGUCACCAAGGUGCCAGGCUGAAUCAGUGUGUCCAAUCAGGCGUGGAGACCCUUGGUGGAUGAGGGAGCCCACCAGCUCCAGUCUCCCCUGCCUGGACGUCACCUUCUGCAUGUGGUUUGGGCCUGGACUGUCAGCUUCUCUGCUGGACCCUGGGCCUGGAGGACCUGGUCCCAGCUUCAAUCCUCGUGAUCAGAAGAAGGCUGCCGGGGCUCCAGCUGUCACAUCUACACACCAAAAGUGAAGAAGAGGAAGGCCAAGGGGCAAAAGGCAAUCUCCUUCCAGCUGUGUCUCUCCCAGGGUGUGAAAUGGAAUAACCCUAUGAGGGCCCACAUGGCAGUGUUGAGC
This is a long non-coding RNA of Camelus dromedarius (Arabian camel), 4336 nucleotides long. RefSeq lists it as uncharacterized. The transcript is spliced from 4 exons. The record is from RefSeq and is a predicted model, not a curated record. Lineage: Eukaryota; Metazoa; Chordata; Mammalia; Artiodactyla; Camelidae.